RNAcentral lists this ribosomal RNA (241 nucleotides) under uncultured Staphylococcus sp. Its description in RNAcentral is "partial 16S ribosomal RNA". It matches the Rfam family "Bacterial small subunit ribosomal RNA", at positions 99 to 334 of the family's 1533-position model. Lineage: Bacteria; Bacillati; Bacillota; Bacilli; Caryophanales; Staphylococcaceae. The record is from RNAcentral.
CGGACGGGUGAGUAACACGUGGAUAACCUACCUAUAAGACUGGGAUAACUUCGGGAAACCGGAGCUAAUACCGGAUAAUAUAUUGAACCGCAUGGUUCAAUAGUGAAAGACGGUUUUGCUGUCACUUAUAGAUGGAUCCGCGCCGCAUUAGCUAAUUGGUAAGGUAACGGCUUACCAAGGCAACGAUGCGUAGCCGACCUGAGAGGGUGAUCGGCCACACUGGAACUGAGACACGGUCCAG